CCGAGCGAGGGCCUCCGGGCUCGACCUCCAACCCUUUGUCGUUACAAUCUCUGUUGCCUUGGGGGCGACCCGGCCUCCGCGUCGGGGCCCCCAGAGGACCUCAAACUCAGCGUCCUUGCGUCGGAGUCAACAGCAAAUCAAUCA
This 144-nucleotide unclassified non-coding RNA is filed under the name uncultured fungus. RNAcentral describes it as "sequence contains ITS1, 5.8S rRNA gene". Lineage: Eukaryota; Fungi. The record is from RNAcentral.